This 460-nucleotide long non-coding RNA is filed under the name Ananas comosus (pineapple). RNAcentral's name for it is "long non-coding RNA (ACOM_LNC006153)". The record is from RNAcentral. Lineage: Eukaryota; Viridiplantae; Streptophyta; Magnoliopsida; Poales; Bromeliaceae.
AAUUGGGGUUAGUCAGAAAUUUCGAAAAACUAAAAAGCAUUUUAAAAAAAGGAAAAACUUCAAAAACCUUCUUGCGGUUUCACACUUUCUCAUUUUAGUAUCCUGUGGUUUAAAGUAUAUCAAUUUGAUGUCCUGUGAUUUUAUUUUUUGAUUUUUAUUAUCAAUUUCACUGUUUUUUUCUUAACUAACGAUAAAGUUAAAAAUUAAAGGGUACUAAUAUGAAUAUUCGAUAAAUUUAUAUGGAUAUCUGAAGUUUUUUGUAUAUAAUUUAAUAAAAUAUUAACAAAAAAGCUGUCAAAAAGAGAAAAAUGAAACUAUAGGGCACAAAAUUGAGACACUUUAAACCAUAUGGUACUAAAGUGAGAAAGUGCGAAACCAUAUGAAUGGUUUUUAAAGUUUUUUUCUAAAAAUAAAAAAGAAUUUUAUAUAUAUAUAUAUAUAUAUAUAUAUAUAUAUAUAU